Molecule: long non-coding RNA, 1658 nt
Organism: Ictalurus punctatus (channel catfish)
Lineage: Eukaryota; Metazoa; Chordata; Actinopteri; Siluriformes; Ictaluridae
Source: Ensembl
GCACGUACAGCCUGACAAAUAAUUAACUGCACUUAAAGCGUUCAUAAAAAAAUUAAAUAAAAAUACCCAAAACUGUAUACAGUACCAUAACGAAGACGAACUGUAUGUUGAUAUGUGAAAUUCUGGAUAGACGUCGGACGGCGUGGCGCAGUGACGUAAUGACGCGGGCUGUUAAUCUAAUUAUGUUCUAAAACAUGUAAAACGGGCACAAGAAAGGAGUAUUCUAAAAGUGACUCAUGUAAACACCAUAAUCACAUUAUUAUCUUAAUCAGAUGUGAAAAGACGGAUCUCAGCAUCAUAUAGUUGCUGUUGGAAAGGGGUCACAUAUGCAGAAGAUGCCGGAAAAGAAAAGAAUGUGCAGGACCUGGAGGAUUUUUCUGAAGAACAGUUACUUGAUGCUCGGUCUUGUUGUGUUGCUGGUCGUUAUGGAGAGCUUCUGGAAGCUUCAGCAAGUGCAGGCCUUGGUGCAUCUCUUUGUUGGGUCUACAGCAGCGUCACUAAAAGAAGAUGAUCUUGAGGAGCUAGUGCUAGGUGAAUGGCCAGACAGCCAUGAUAUUCCAACAGCGGCUGUUCAGUUUAGACCCCCUAUCUCCAUCAUCUCACAUCGCAUGUCUGAUUCACCAGCAUUCCCUUUUGUGGAGGAUGCAUGUACAUCAUUUACAGCAAAAGCGGCAACUUAUAAGAAGACCGUGUGUCCGCAACAUCAGCCAGACACUGAUCCAGACCCAGCUGAUCAAAACAACUGAUUACCAAAAUCAAAUGUCUUUAAACACGGUCACUAAAUUUAUAUUCACAAGAAAGAAGUGACAGAGCAAAUGUUUCUCGUUCCAGGGUUUUCAACCAAAGCCUUCCUGAUGCGCCACUGACACUUUGAUCAUCUCAAGGAUUUAUUUGAAUUGAAAAAUGUUGCACAGUGUUGCCAGUGUUUGAGAUUAUACAGGAAUUUCCUGUAUAAGGAAUUUUUCCUGGAAUUAAUUUUGUCUGCAUCAAGAUCAGUUCCCCAAAUUGUUAAAGAAAAUACUUUUCUUUGUACUUUAUUUUCCAUUUAUAGUUUCAAUCCCAUUAUGAGCACAAACAAUAGAGACCUUGACUAUGCGCUUCAAUACAUUAAUGUUAAAUUAACUGCAUUUUAUACAGAUGUUCAGAGUAAACUUGUAACAUGUUCCAGUAUUUUCUUUUAGUGUUUAGAGAAGUUCUGUAGUUAGUCAUUUCAGAACUUUGUCUUUGUGCUUAAGGCUGUAAGAGUUUAACUCCAGUACAUUAGAGGCAGCAAUGUGGCAUGAUUUAUUUUCUAUCCAACAAUCACUAAACAAUUGGUACAAAAUUGGUAGGCAGUUAAAGGCCCAAGCAAUGACGGGUUGUGAGACACCAAAACCACCUUAGCAAGCUUAGAAGCUUAGAGUGAAUAACAAUGGUUUAUAACAGCGGUUUAUACAAAGCUCAUAGACUCUGUGGUUUAUAAAAGCAGCAACACUCUAGCAAGUGUAUCAUUAGUUCAUUGUCAUUUUGCAGAGCCCUGCUGCACCAUGUUGUUUUCCCUGUAAUGGACUAAAACUCACUUUAAAACUCUUUAAAUAAAGAAAUUUAUGUGUUUUGCUGUACCAUUGUAAAGUAUGCCAUUUUUUCACCUUUUUAUUCCAUAAUGUUUUUUUCCCUGA